AGUGAACGCUGGCGGUAGGCCUAACACAUGCAAGUCGAACGGCAGCACAGUAAGAGCUUGCUCUUACGGGUGGCGAGUGGCGGACGGGUGAGGAAUACAUCGGAAUCUACUUUUUCGUGGGGGAUAACGUAGGGAAACUUACGCUAAUACCGCAUACGACCUACGGGUGAAAGCAGGGGAUCUUCGGACCUUGCGCGAUUGAAUGAGCCGAUGUCGGAUUAGCUAGUUGGCGGGGUAAAGGCCCACCAAGGCGACUAUCCAUAGCUGGUCUGAGAGGAUGAUCAGCCACACUGGAACUGAGACACGGUCCAGACUCCUACGGGAGGCAGCAGUGGGGAAUAUUGGACAAUGGGCGCAAGCCUGAUCCAGCCAUACCGCGUGGGUGAAGAAGGCCUUCGGGUUGUAAAGCCCUUUUGUUGGGAAAGAAAAGCAGCAGGUUAAUACCCCGCUGUUCUGACGGUACCCAAAGAAUAAGCACCGGCUAACUUCGUG
RNAcentral lists this ribosomal RNA (492 nucleotides) under uncultured bacterium. RNAcentral describes it as "partial 16S ribosomal RNA". It matches the Rfam family "Bacterial small subunit ribosomal RNA", at positions 29 to 507 of the family's 1533-position model. The record is from RNAcentral.